GAAGUGAGCCAGACGAUCGCUGCUGUGAAGGUCUUCGUGACUAAAGCAGGGGAGGAAAGUCCGGGCUUCAUCGGGCAAGGUGCCAGGUAACGCCUGGGAGGCGUAAGCCUACGGAAAGUGCAGCAGAGAGUAGACCGCCAUUUUGCAACUGAACUUCGGUUUAGCCUAGAAUAUGGUAAGGGUGAAAGGGUGCGGUAAGAGCGCACCGCAUGACUGGUAACAGUUCAUGGCAUGGUAAACCCCACCUGAAGCAAGACCAAAUAGGAAUCCUUAAGGUAUGGCCCAUACUGGAUUCGGGUAGGUCGCUUGAGCAUAUGAGUGAUUGUAUGCCUAGAGGAAUGAUCGUUCUAGACAGAACCCGGCUUAUCGGCUCACUUCAACA
Molecule: non-coding RNA, 382 nt
Organism: Acinetobacter sp. Ver3
Lineage: Bacteria; Pseudomonadati; Pseudomonadota; Gammaproteobacteria; Moraxellales; Moraxellaceae
Source: Rfam